This 548-nucleotide ribosomal RNA is filed under the name uncultured Acaulospora. RNAcentral's name for it is "SSU rRNA". It matches the Rfam family "Eukaryotic small subunit ribosomal RNA", at positions 548 to 1098 of the family's 1831-position model. The record is from RNAcentral. Lineage: Eukaryota; Fungi; Glomeromycota; Glomeromycetes; Diversisporales; Acaulosporaceae.
UUGGAGGGCAAGUCUGGUGCCAGCAGCCGCGGUAAUUCCAGCUCCAAUAGCGUAUAUUAAAGUUGUUGCAGUUAAAAAGCUCGUAGUUGAAUUUCGGAAUCUGUCCGUCGGUCGGGCUUCACUGUCCGUACUGGUGCGAUGGGUUUCUACCUUCUGAAUAAUCGGCAUGUCAUUAAUUUGGUGCGCCGGGGAAGCAGAACUAUUACCUUGAAAAAAUUAGAGUGCUUAAAGCAGGCUAUCGCCUGAAUAGAUUAGCAUGGAAUAAUAAAAUAGGACGGCAUGGUUCUAUUUUGUUGGUUUCUAGGAUCACCGUAAUGAUUAAUAGGGAUAGUUGGGGGCAUUAGUAUUCAAUUGUCAGAGGUGAAAUUCUUGGAUUUAUUGAAGACUAACUUCUGCGAAAGCAUUUGCCAAGGAUGUUUUCAUUAAUCAAGAACGAAAGUUAGGGGAUCGAAGACGAUCAGAUACCGUCGUAGUCUUAACCAUAAACUAUGCCGACUAGGAAUCGGGCGUCGUUAUUUUAAUGACUCGCUCGGCGCCUUACGGGAAAC